This 252-nucleotide ribosomal RNA is filed under the name uncultured bacterium. RNAcentral's name for it is "partial 16S ribosomal RNA". It matches the Rfam family "Bacterial small subunit ribosomal RNA", at positions 524 to 776 of the family's 1533-position model. The record is from RNAcentral.
UACAGAGGUCUCAAGCGUUGUUCGGAUUCAUUGGGCGUAAAGGGUGCGUAGGCGGCGCGGUAAGUCGGGUGUGAAAUCUCGGGGCUUAACUCCGAAACUGCAUUCGAUACUACCGUGCUUGAGGACUGGAGAGGAGACUGGAUUUACGGUGUAGCGGUGAAAUGCGUAGAUAUCGUAAGGAAGACCAGUGGCGAAGGCGGGUCUCUGGACAGUUCCUGACGCUGAGGCACGAAGGCCAGGGGAGCAAACGGG